UUCCCAUCCACAGCUCACGCAACCACGGAAACAGAGCCGUUAGUCCGUCCGUCAGCUCGAUUCUAUCGUUUCCCCUUCCUGCUAUUCCUGCUAAACGCUAGCCCCCAUGAAUAAAAAAGCGCUCGUCAGCUCACUGCCGCACAAAUCAAAGAGCUCGAUUUAAGUGUGGAUAGCUUAUCCUCUGCGGAACUUCACACUCGGCAGCAAUAGGAUUGAUUUGGGCGGCAGCAAGGUAAAUCUCGAUGGAUCUCGAUUUGGGCAGUGAGGAGUUCAAUUUUUGAUGCUCCUCAUUGGCUACCUCAAGUCAAGGUCCCAUGAUGGAACAUCGAGCUGGGAUGCGUGGGUCCUUGGGUUCGAGUUGCUGAUGCAUGAGCUUUGGUGACAACAUGAAGGCGACAGUGUAUCAUUCAAGGAAUUUUGAUCCCAGAGAAAUUUGGCGAGGAUGUGGCAGGAGAGGUCGGCGGUACGAUGAGGCUCGUCCCUUGUGGCAGUAAUUGCGGUGCCAAAUCCAUGUAGUUGGCUUCAUUGGUCGACGUGUGAUGAUCUGGCCGAGAUGCCUUUACCGGUGUGUUGAAGAGGUGUGUUGAGGAGGAAGAUGUAAAUCUGAUAAUUAUCCUCCCGAUGCGGUUGUAAUUGGCGCCAUUUUUUUCAGAACCAGACAGCUUUUCCCUCCAUUAAUUUCACCUAACUUCCGUAA
This is a long non-coding RNA of Panicum virgatum (switchgrass), 697 nucleotides long. RefSeq lists it as uncharacterized. The record is from RefSeq and is a predicted model, not a curated record. The transcript has 3 exons. Lineage: Eukaryota; Viridiplantae; Streptophyta; Magnoliopsida; Poales; Poaceae.